UGGGGAAUAUUGCACAAUGGGCGAAAGCCUGAUGCAGCAACGCCGCGUGAGUGAUGAAGGCCUUCGGGUUGUAAAGCUCUGUCUUCUGGGACGAUAAUGACGGUACCAGAGGAGGAAGCCACGGCUAACUACGUGCCAGCAGCCGCGGUAAUACGUAGGUGGCAAGCGUUGUCCGGAUUUACUGGGUGUAAAGGGCGCGCAGGCGGGAUAAAAAGUCAGUGGUGAAAUCCUACAGCUUAACUGUAGAACUGCCUUUGAUACUUUUAUUCUUGAGUUCGGGAGAGAGAGACGGAAUUCCAGGUGUAGUGGUGAAAUACGUAGAUAUCUGGAAGAACACCAGUUGCGAAGGCGGUCUCUUGGUCCGACACUGACGCUGAGGCGCGAAAGCGUGGGGAGCAAAC
RNAcentral lists this ribosomal RNA (401 nucleotides) under uncultured bacterium. RNAcentral describes it as "bacterial SSU rRNA". It matches the Rfam family "Bacterial small subunit ribosomal RNA", at positions 355 to 773 of the family's 1533-position model. The record is from RNAcentral.